This 457-nucleotide ribosomal RNA is filed under the name uncultured bacterium. RNAcentral describes it as "bacterial SSU rRNA". It matches the Rfam family "Bacterial small subunit ribosomal RNA", at positions 28 to 485 of the family's 1533-position model. The record is from RNAcentral.
GACGAACGCUGGCGGCGUGCCUAACACAUGCAAGUCAACUUGACUGAAGGAGCAAUCUGACAGUAGAGUGGCGCAAGGGUGCGUAACGCGUAAGUAACUUGCCCCAAGGUAAGGAAUAACGUCGAGAAAUCGGCGCUAAUACCUCAUAAUGCAGCGGAUCCGCAUGGAUAUGUUGUUAAAGGUUUACCGCCUUGGGAUAGGCUUGCGUCUGAUUAGCUAGUUGGUGUGGUAACGGCACACCAAGGCUACGAUCAGUAACUGGUCUGAGAGGAUGAUCAGUCACACUGGAACUGAGACACGGUCCAGACUCCUACGGGAGGCAGCAGUGAGGAAUAUUGGGCAAUGCUCGAAAGAGUGACCCAGCAACGCCGCGUGGAGGAUGAAGGUAUUCUAUAUCGUAAACUCCUGUGAGAGCAGACGAAAGACAGAUUAUAAUCUGGAUGACUGUAUGCUCAGA